Molecule: ribosomal RNA, 495 nt
Filed under: uncultured bacterium
Lineage: Bacteria
Description: partial 16S ribosomal RNA
Rfam family: Bacterial small subunit ribosomal RNA
Source: RNAcentral
GAUGAACGCUGGCGGCGUGCCUAAUACAUGCAAGUCGAGCGAACAGACGAGGAGCUUGCUCCUCUGACGUUAGCGGCGGACGGGUGAGUAACACGUGGAUAACCUACCUAUAAGACUGGGAUAACUUCGGGAAACCGGAGCAAUACCGGAUAAUAUAUUGAACCGCAUGGUUCAAUAGUGAAAGACGGUUUUGCUGUCACUUAUAGAUGGAUCCGCGCCGCAUUAGCUAGUUGGUAAGGUAACGGCUUACCAAGGCAACGAUGCGUAGCCGACCUGAGAGGGUGAUCGGCCACACUGGAACUGAGACACGGUCCAGACUCCUACGGGAGGCAGCAGUAGGGAAUCUUCCGCAAUGGGCGAAAGCCUGACGGAGCAACGCCGCGUGAGUGAUGAAGGUCUUCGGAUCGUAAAACUCUGUUAUUAGGGAAGAACAAAUGUGUAAGUAACUAUGCACGUCUUGACGGUACCUAAUCAGAAAGCCACGGCUAACUACGU